Molecule: small RNA, 710 nt
Filed under: Pongo abelii (Sumatran orangutan)
Lineage: Eukaryota; Metazoa; Chordata; Mammalia; Primates; Hominidae
Description: processed transcript
Source: RNAcentral
GCCUGGCAGUUAGAUGCUCAGUUUGUUAAAUGGAUAGUAGGAGACACAGGAGUGUCAACUAUCCACACAUUUGAUUGGUGAGCCCUACUAGCCCUGGGUCAACGUGCCCUGUAAGAGCAUGAUCAAAAGGAAGUCCAGCUUUCCUGCCUCUCCACUUGCACCCCUUAGCAUUAAAUUUCUUUCCCCGUGCUGUGAAAUCUGAGAAUCCUGCCUAUGCUAUUCACAGGCCCAGAGCCAUGGCUAUCUCCUCUUCCUCCUGCGAACUGCCCCUGGUGGCUGUGUGCCAGGUAACAUCGACGCCAGACAAGCAACAGAACUUUAAAACAUGUGCUGAGCUGGUUCGAGAGGCUGCCAGACUGGGUGCCUGCCUGGCUUUCCUGCCUGAGGCAUUUGACUUCAUUGCACGGGACCCUGCAGAAACGCUACGCCUGUCUGAACCACUGGGUGGGAAACUUUUGGAAGAAUACAGCCAGCUUGCCAGGGAAUGUGGACUCUGGCUGUCCUUGGGUGGUUUCCAUGAGCGUGGCCAAGACUGGGAGCAGACUCAGAAAAUCUACAAUUGUCACGUGCUGCUGAACAGCAAAGGGGCAGUAGUGGCCACUUACAGGAAGACACAUCUGUGUGAUGUAGAGAUUCCAGGGCAGGGGCCUAUGUGUGAAAGCAACUCUACCAUGCCUGGGCCCAGUCUUGAGUCACCUGUCAGCACACCA